UGGGGAAUCUUGCACAAUGGGCGAAAGCCUGAUGCAGCAACGCCGCGUGCGGGAAGACAGCCCUAGGGUUGUAAACCGCUUUCAGCAGGGAAGAAACUGACGGUACCUGCAGAAGAAGAUGCGGCCAACUACGUGCCAGCAGCCGCGGUGACACGUAGGCAUCAAGCGUUAUCCGGAUUUAUUGGGCGUAAAGAGCUCGUAGGCGGUUCGGUAAGUCGGGUGUGAAAACUCUGGGCUCAACCCAGAGAGGCCACUCGAUACUGCUGUGACUAGAGUGCGGUAGGGGAGCGGGGAAUUUCCUGGUGUAGCGGUGAAAUGCGCAGAUAUCAGGAGGAACACCAGUGGCGAAGGCGCCGCUCUGGGCCGUAACUGACGCUGAGGAGCGAAAGCAUGGGUAGCAAACAGGAUUAGAUACCCUGGUAGUCCAUGCCGUAAACGUUGGGCACUAGGUGUGGGUCUCAACCAACGAGAUCCGCGCCGUCGC
This 484-nucleotide ribosomal RNA is filed under the name uncultured bacterium. RNAcentral describes it as "bacterial SSU rRNA". It matches the Rfam family "Bacterial small subunit ribosomal RNA", at positions 355 to 852 of the family's 1533-position model. The record is from RNAcentral.